GAUGAACGCUGACAGAAUGCUUAACACAUGCAAGUCUACUUGAAUUUGGGUUUUUUAACUUAGAUUUGGGUGGCGGACGGGUGAGUAACGCGUAAAGAACUUGCCUCACAGCUAGGGACAACAUUUGGAAACGAAUGCUAAUACCUGAUAUUAUGAUUAUAAGGCAUCUUAGAAUUAUGAAAGCUAUAUGCGCUGUGAGAGAGCUUUGCGUCCCAUUAGCUAGUUGGAGAGGUAACGGCUCACCAAGGCGAUGAUGGGUAGCCGGCCUGAGAGGGUGAACGGACACAAGGGGACUGAGACACGGCCCUUACUCCUACGGGAGGCAGCAGUGGGGAAUAUUGGACAAUGGACCAAGAGUCUGAUCCAGCAAUUCUGUGUGCACGAUGACGUUUUUCGGAAUGUAAAGUGCUUUCAGUUGGGAAGAAAAAAAUGACGGUACCAACAGAAGAAGUGACGGCUAAAUACGUG
RNAcentral lists this ribosomal RNA (468 nucleotides) under uncultured bacterium. RNAcentral's name for it is "partial 16S ribosomal RNA". It matches the Rfam family "Bacterial small subunit ribosomal RNA", at positions 28 to 507 of the family's 1533-position model. The record is from RNAcentral.